This is a long non-coding RNA of Myotis lucifugus (little brown bat), 936 nucleotides long. RefSeq lists it as uncharacterized. NCBI's taxonomy places the organism in Eukaryota, Metazoa, Chordata, Mammalia, Chiroptera, Vespertilionidae. The transcript is spliced from 6 exons. The record is from RefSeq and is a predicted model, not a curated record.
GCCAAGGGCCAGAUAUCGAAGUUGGAGUUCCCGAAGAUCGUCGGAGGAGAAUUUUAAGUAGCAGAUGAAAUACAACAGAGUUAUGACGGCGCGUGAAGCCUUUUCUUGUCUCUCUCAGCUUCAGCCGGAGCUAAUCUGAGGAUGACAGCAACAACAACAACAAAAACUGAGAAGAGUAGGAGAGACCUGAGUUUGUGGCCUACCCCAUCUCAGAUCAGGUCUAAGCCCUCUCCCUGGGAAUAUGGUAACUAUACACUAUUUCAUAAUCCUCAUGUGAAUCUGCUUCCAACUGGCUAUGAAGAUGAAUAAAGAGAACCUGGACCACUACCUAGUGGGGACCACAGCACUGAUUUGGACCAUUACUCUGCACAUGGACCAGAAAAGUGUGUUGCAUUUCUUUUUUAAAAAUUUUUUUAAGAAUCUUUUCUUUUUGGUACCAAUGGAGAGUCACAUUCUACUUAAAAAUCCACGAGACAUUUUUAAAAAAGAUACAACCAAGAAAAAGAAAGGAGACACAGAUGAAGGAGAACUACUAAGAGGCUCUGAGGCAAAACCCUCCAACCAGCAAAAGAUUACAACUCGCUUUAUUGUGAUACUUGUUUGAUUACAGUGGUCUGGAACCAAACCUGCAAUAUAUCAAGUUCAGGGUCACAGGUGGUCAGAGCCUCUCUCAGCAGCUCAGGGCACUGCAAGGAUGCCUUUCCAUCAAAGAGUGCAUCACGCCCACACCCACGCUCACCCAUACAACUUAGACAUGCCAGUUGACCUCUCGUGGACAUCUUUGGGAUGUGGGAGGAAACUUAAGAGUCCUGAGUGAAAACCCACACAGACAUGGGGAGAACUGUGCCAACUCCACACAGACAGUGGCCCCCACUCUGGGAAUUUUUCUCAUUAACAUUAUAAGGAAAAGAGGAAAUGACCUUGGAGGAAAUGACA